CANCGGCGGCCCGAGUGGUAACCGCUAUUAUUGGGUCUAAAGGGUCUGUAGCCGGCCGGAUAAGUCUCUUGAGAAAUCUGGCAGCUUAACUGUCAGGCUUUCAGGAGAUACUGUCUGGCUCGAGGCCGGGAGAGGUGAGAGGUACUUCAGGGGUAGGGGUGAAAUCUUGUAAUCCUUGAAGGACCACCAGUGGCGAAGGCGUCUCACCAGAACGGACCUGACGGCAAGGGACGAAAGCUAGGGGCACGAACCGG
This 254-nucleotide ribosomal RNA is filed under the name uncultured archaeon. RNAcentral describes it as "partial 16S ribosomal RNA". It matches the Rfam family "Archaeal small subunit ribosomal RNA", at positions 474 to 727 of the family's 1478-position model. The record is from RNAcentral.